RNAcentral lists this ribosomal RNA (1464 nucleotides) under uncultured organism. RNAcentral describes it as "SSU rRNA". It matches the Rfam family "Bacterial small subunit ribosomal RNA". The record is from RNAcentral.
GAACGCUGGCGGCAGGCCUAACACAUGCAAGUCGAACGGUAACAGAAAGCAGCUUGCUGCUUUGCUGACGAGUGGCGGACGGGUGAGUAAUGUCUGGGAAACUGCCCGAUGGAGGGGGAUAACUACUGGAAACGGUAGCUAAUACCGCAUAACGUCGCAAGACCAAAGAGGGGGACCUUCGGGCCUCUUGCCAUCGGAUGUGCCCAGAUGGGAUUAGCUAGUAGGUGGGGUAAAGGCUCACCUAGGCGACGAUCCCUAGCUGGUCUGAGAGGAUGGCCAGCCACACUGGAACUGAGACACGGUCCAGACUCCUACGGGAGGCAGCAGUGGGGAAUAUUGCACAAUGGGCGCAAGCCUGAUGCAGCCAUGCCGCGUGUAUGAAGAAGGCCUUCGGGUUGUAAAGCACUUUCUGCGGCGACGAAGGGAGUAAAGAAAAUACCUUCGCUCAUUGACGUUACCCGCAGAAGAAGCACCGGGCUAACUUCCGUGCCAGCAGCCGGGGGUAAUACGGAGGGUGCAAGCGUUAAUGGGGAUUUACGGGGGGUAAAGCGCACGCAGGCGUUUUGUUUAGUCAGAUGUGAAAUCCCCGGGCUUCACCUUGGGAACUGCAUCUGAUACUGGCAAGCUUGAGUCUCGUAGAGGGGGGUAGAAUUCCAGGUGUAGCGGUGAAAUGCGUAGAGAUCUGGAGGAAUACCGGUGGCGAAGGCGGCCCCCUGGACGAAGACUGACGCUCAGGUGCGAAAGCGUGGGGAGCAAACAGGAUUAGAUACCCUGGUAGUCCACGCCGCAAACGAUGUCGACCUGGAGGUUGUGCCCUUGAGGCGUGGCUUCCGGAGCUAACGCGUUAAGUCGACCGCCUGGGGAGUACGGCCGCAAGGUUAAAACUCAAAUGAAUUGACGGGGGCCCGCACAAGCGGUGGAGCAUGUGGUUUAAUUCGAUGCAACGCGAAGAACCUUACCUGGUCUUGACAUCCACGGAAGUUUUCAGAGAUGAGAAUGUGCCUUCGGGAACCGUGAGACAGGUGCUGCAUGGCUGUCGUCAGCUCGUGUUGUGAAAUGUUGGGUUAAGUCCCGCAACGAGCGCAACCCUUAUCCUUUGUUGCCAGCGGUCCGGCCGGGAACUCAAAGGAGACUGCCAGUGAUAAACUGGAGGAAGGUGGGGAUGACGUCAAGUCAUCAUGGCCCUUACGACCAGGGCUACACACGUGCUACAAUGGCGCAUACAAAGAGAAGCGACCUCGCGAGAGCAAGCGGACCUCAUAAAGUGCGUCGUAGUCCGGAUUGGAGUCUGCAACUCGACUCCAUGAAGUCGGAAUCGCUAGUAAUCGUGGAUCAGAAUGCCACGGUGAAUACGUUCCCGGGCCUUGUACACACCGCCCGUCACACCAUGGGAGUGGGUUGCAAAAGAAGUAGGUAGCUUAACCUUCGGGAGGGCGCUUACCACUUUGUGAUUCAUGACUGGGG